UCCCCGUUACCGAGGCAGUUUGGUUAGAAAAAUCCAACUAACCAUGAGGGUUGCGCUCGUUAAAGGACUUAACCUAACAUCUCACGACACGAGCUGACGACGGCCAUGCAUCACCUGUCACUGGUCCAACUAAAUGACGCUCUAAUUUCUUAGAACUACGACCAGGAUGUCAAGUCUGGGUAAGGUUCUUCGCGUAGCCUCGAAUUAAACCACACGCUCCACCGCUUGUGCGGGUCCCCGUCAAUUCCUUUGAGUUUUAGCCUUGCGGCCGUACUCCCCAGGCGGGAUGCUUAACGCGUUAGCUUUGCUACCGAACGGGUCGAUGCGUCCGACAGCUAGCAUCCAUCGUUUACGGCGUGGACUAC
Molecule: unclassified non-coding RNA, 365 nt
Filed under: uncultured bacterium
Lineage: Bacteria
Description: contains 16S-23S intergenic spacer region
Source: RNAcentral